CCUACGGGAGGCAGCAGUGAGGAAUAUUGGUCAAUGGACGAGAGUCUGAACCAGCCAAGUAGCGUGAAGGAUGACUGCCCUAUGGGUUGUAAACUUCUUUUAUAUGGGAAUAACAUGUUCCAAGUGUGGGAUUAUGUAUGUACCAUAUGAAUAAGGAUCGGCUAAGUCAGUGCCAGCAGCCGCGGUAAUACAGAGGAUCCGAGCGUUAUCCGGAUUGAUUGGGGUUAAAGGGAGCGUCGGUGGAUUGUUAAGUCAGUUGUGAAAGUUUGCGGCCCAACCUUAAAAUUGCAGUUGAAACUGGCAGUCUGGAGUACAGUAGAGGUAGGCGGAAUUCGUGGUGUAGCGGUGAAAUGCUUAGAUAUCACGAAGAACUCCGAUUGCGAAGGCAGUUCACUGGACUGCAACUGACGCUGAGGCUCGAAAGUGUGGGGAUCAAACAGGAUUAGAUACCCCAGUAGUC
RNAcentral lists this ribosomal RNA (460 nucleotides) under uncultured bacterium. RNAcentral describes it as "partial 16S ribosomal RNA". It matches the Rfam family "Bacterial small subunit ribosomal RNA", at positions 338 to 795 of the family's 1533-position model. The record is from RNAcentral.